GGCGAGUACAACUCGAUCUUCUUAGACGGCUCGGUGGGGGCGGGAAUAACAAAGCUCUUAGUAGGAGAGGAAACGCCAUCGAGAGUGGGUGAAGAUUGAAGCAUCUUCUUGAGAGGGAGGGUUCGAGUGGAAGAAGGGGAGGAGUAGAGGAAGCUGGGGAUCAGAGACUGGCGAGAGGGUUUAUCAGAGAGUGCCAUGGGA
This 201-nucleotide unclassified non-coding RNA is filed under the name Hevea brasiliensis (rubber tree). Lineage: Eukaryota; Viridiplantae; Streptophyta; Magnoliopsida; Malpighiales; Euphorbiaceae. The record is from RNAcentral.